GACGAACGCUGGCGGCGUGCUUAACACAUGCAAGUCGAACGGAAAGGCCCUGCUUGCAGGGUACUCGAGUGGCGAACGGGUGAGUAACACGUGGGUGAUCUGCCCUGCACUUCGGGAUAAGCCUGGGAAACUGGGUCUAAUACCGGAUAGGAGCCAUUUUUAGUGUGAUGGUUGGAAAGUUUUUUCGGUGUAGGAUGAGCUCGCGGCCUAUCAGCUUGUUGGUGGGGUAAUGGCCUACCAAGGCGGCGACGGGUAGCCGGCCUGGGAGGGUGGACGGCCACAUUGGGACUGAGAUACGGCCCAGACUCCUACGGGAGGCAGCAGUGGGGAAUAUUGCACAAUGGGCGCGAGCCUGAUGCAGCGACGCCGCGUGGGGGAUGACGGCCUUCGGGUUGUAAACUCCUUUCGCUAGGGACGAAGCUUUUUGUGACGGUACCUAGAGAAGAAGCACCGGCUAACUACGUG
Molecule: ribosomal RNA, 465 nt
Filed under: uncultured bacterium
Lineage: Bacteria
Description: partial 16S ribosomal RNA
Rfam family: Bacterial small subunit ribosomal RNA
Source: RNAcentral